GAUACCCUAUUAUAAUAAUUUAAUUAAUUAUAAUUAAAGUAUUAAAUGAUAAAUCAUUAAAUUUAAAAAAUUUGGCGGUAUUUUAUAAAAUUAGAGGAACCUGUUGUGUAAUUGAUAGACCACGAUAAGAAAUACUUUAAUUAAAUUUUAUGUAUUGUUGUUUAAAAAUUUUUAUUAAGUAUAAAAUUAAUUAUUUUAUUAGAAAUUUAAUUCAAAUCAAAAUAUAGAUUAUUAAAGAAUUAAUGGGUUACAAUUAAUUAAAUUAUUAUUUAAUUAAAUUUAAUUAAAUUAAAAUAUUGGAUUUAAAAGUAAAGUUAUUAAAUUAUUUAAUUUGAAAUUUUAAUAAAAUAUGUACACAUC
Molecule: ribosomal RNA, 360 nt
Filed under: Belonogaster sp. 1 MDS-2020
Lineage: Eukaryota; Metazoa; Arthropoda; Insecta; Hymenoptera; Vespidae
Description: partial small subunit ribosomal RNA
Source: RNAcentral